UUUCACCCAGUCAGGAAUCUAGUCCACAACACCCAUGCCAGCUGGGGGGCUGGACUCUGCUAGGACACGUUCAGUGAUGUGAAAAUCGCUCUUUUUUAAAGGUUGUCCACACCGAGCCUCCAGCAAUUUGUCAAUUACAGUUCCGAUUUCCCUCUCCCAGCACUGGUUCUCAUACAGGCUUCAGCUCACAGGUUUCUGCUCUGGCAAGAGGCACGUCUGGGCACACAGAAGCUUGUUUGGAGGUUGUGAGCAUCAGUGAACAGUUGGCACAUGCUGGUACUUACUAAGGUACUUAAUUCCUUGAAAGAAGAAUAAGACUUUGCCUUCUUUGAAUUCUUAAAACCUAGCACAGAACCUGGAAAUCUGGAGAAUGAAGAAAACAACACGGGAACAAACAAACUUUGAUAUUCAAAGUCAUUACUAACAACGUAUUGCCAAAAACAAGUCUGGCUCCAGGGAGAAGGUGAGGCCCUCUGAUACGGUUCUGAUCAAUGAAAUAUAAGGAGAAACCUGCUGAUACCACCCCCUCUUCCAUCUUCUUCCUGCCUGGUGAAUGGGGAAAUGAAGCAGUACUUGGAACCAGGAAGACAAAAGCUACGUGCUGAGGAUGGCAAGUUAGGAAGACAGAAGGAGCCUGAUUUCUUGAUGCAUCUGGAUCAGCCUUACAAACCCUAAAUUUCCUAUGCCCAGACUUCUUAGUGCAUAACAUAAACUCCUGUGUGUUUAAGUUACUAUUCAUCAGGUCAUCUGUUUCAGAUAGCAGAAUCCUAUCCUUUCUGAUGGAGAACACAAAUGACUGGUGAUUACUUUCUGCCUUUUUUCUAAAAACUCCAUAGCUCGUUUACUCCAUGGGUUCAAACUCUGUAUCUGAGCAUUGACAGAAGAGUGCCGUGUACAAAGAAAUCAGACCUAAUUCAUCUCGUCUUUUGAAAAAUGCAAUGUAUUCUUAACAUACAGGAAUUAAUGCCCCGAAGACCUUAUUCAAUUCUCAAAUUCACAAAUACCACUUGUAUUAGUCAGAAUCUACUCAGGAAAACAAAAACUACCCUACGUACUUAUCAGAAGGAAUUUAACAAAGGGGAUUUAAUAUGGGGAAAGAAGGGGCAACACUGAGAUUACCGGGAGAUAACAACAGCAGGGAGCAGUUGCUACUCCUAAAGCUGGAGGGGCAAACGAGAGGAGGCAGAUGUAAGGAGUACUUAAGAGCCCAGAGGGGGAGCCUCAAAGAGUUGGUGGUCAGAUCUUGAAAAGGAGACACUUCCUCGGAAGUGAACACAUUUAGGGUCGCAGAGGAGCCUAAUGGAGUUCGGGCACAGACCUCUGAAGAGGCGGCAUUGCCCGACUGCUCUGGUACGUUUAAGGGGAGGUGAUGAGGCUUGUUCCAGGAGUGCUGAAAGACACCGCGCCUCCUGCUGCAGCCAGGGUAACCUGCACAGGCUAAAGAGUUGCUGCUGCUCGGGUGAUGCUGACAGGGCCAAGAGCACCCAGGAAAAAGAAAGUGUCUUCUCCCCUCCUUCUCCCUUCCACUCUCUUUCUUCUACUUCUUAUUGGCCAAACCUAACAGGAAGCAGCUGGAAAGAGUCUGGUAAAUGUAGUUCACAAUGUUCCAGCCCCAGCAUCACAUCCCAGAACAUGGCGUAAUGGCGGUAGAUUAGGAACUGUGACAAUAUACGCAUAGAACUAGCGCAACCGAAAAUGCAAUAAAGAAUAACUGAAGCAUUAAAGUGAUCCCAUAGUGGUGGUAUUAGAACAAAGGUUACUUCUGUAAUUAUCCAGCAAUUCUUCCAUAAAACCAAAAUUCUACUUUUCAGGUUAAAAAUGGUCAUUAGGGCUUCCCUGGUGGCACAGGGGUUGAGAGUCUGCCUGCCGAUGCAGGGGGCACGGGUUCGUGCCCCGGUCCGGGAA
Non-coding RNA from Delphinapterus leucas (beluga whale), 1905 nucleotides. Lineage: Eukaryota; Metazoa; Chordata; Mammalia; Artiodactyla; Monodontidae. The record is from RefSeq and is a predicted model, not a curated record.